Danio rerio (zebrafish) is the source of this 246-nucleotide non-coding RNA. The record is from Ensembl. NCBI's taxonomy places the organism in Eukaryota, Metazoa, Chordata, Actinopteri, Cypriniformes, Danionidae.
AACGAACGGCCGCCUCCUCGCCGAGAGCUGUGAUUGGCUGCUGUACGAGCUACUUCCGGAAAAGUUACUCACUCGAAGUGGCGGUAGACAGAUGUUCCUUCAGAGGUGCAGUUACAGAGACCAGUUUUGGAAAAAUGGAUAAACUCCCAUCCAGUGUUUCCAACCCAGUCCUGUGGUUUUUGAGCUGCACACACUCCUCUUGCUGUUGUUGGACAAGUACAUCUUUCCUCGCUCGCUCGCAUGUAG